GCCCUCGUUGAUCAGUGAUCACCUAUCACUCUUAUACAGAUUGUUAGCACUGAAAUAGGAGGUGGGGGUUCAAUUCCCCCCGAGGGCA
This is a non-coding RNA of Mycena leptocephala, 88 nucleotides long. Lineage: Eukaryota; Fungi; Basidiomycota; Agaricomycetes; Agaricales; Mycenaceae. The record is from the annotation of a GenBank genome assembly.